GUUCUAUAUGCAUUACAAGCUUCAGGUAAGAUGAUUGCCGGAGUUUCCUUGUUGAACUACCAUAGGUGUUCUUAUGUUGUUAUAGAUUUCAUAGGAGAUGCAUUUUCGCACCUAGCAAGUGAACAAGUUUGCCUCACUUGGUCUAGAACGAGCUCCCCUCGGGUCAAGAGUGCAUCGAGCAAAUCCAAAAACCAGUUAGGUACAUAAAAGGCCAUCACAUUGUGGAGCUCUUCAUCUGCUUGACGGACCUUCAUUGAAUAGUCUUUUUUUUAAAGUCUUCCAUUAUAGAUUUUAGUUUUUACUAUCAGGUUUGCGAGUCAGAUAAAUAAUGUUUCAAAUUACAUCAUGGUUGUUUUUACUAUCUUUUGAUUCUUAAAUGAAUAUGGCUUAAAUAUAUUUUAUUUUAUUUUAUU
Molecule: long non-coding RNA, 413 nt
Organism: Magnolia sinica
Lineage: Eukaryota; Viridiplantae; Streptophyta; Magnoliopsida; Magnoliales; Magnoliaceae
Exons: 2
Source: RefSeq, a predicted model, not a curated record